Long non-coding RNA from Phlebotomus papatasi, 939 nucleotides. RefSeq lists it as uncharacterized. The transcript is spliced from 2 exons. The record is from RefSeq and is a predicted model, not a curated record. NCBI's taxonomy places the organism in Eukaryota, Metazoa, Arthropoda, Insecta, Diptera, Psychodidae.
AUUUCGAUGAAAAUAUCCAUCGAUUUUUCUAGCAGUACUGCAGCGAAUUGCUAGAAAAAAACAUUCACGUCAGCUGUUUUUGUUUUUCUUAUCAUUUCAUUCCGCUUUUCUCUGUUUUUACACCUUUUAAAAGUUAAUUACCAAUUGGAAUCCAAUCAUCCUUCAUCAAAAGCUACGAAAUUUUGCAGAAAUCUCAAAUAUUCCCUCAUAUUGCUGGCUGUUUUCAUGUAUUUUUCAAGUUAACCUCACUUUUUCUAUUGUUUACAAUCGAGGAUUUAAAUUUUCUUGUAAUGCUAAACCAAAUUUUGACAGAAAAAUCCCCGGAAUUUCCAUUAAACCCAUUUUUGAAUCAACAAGCAUGACGAAGAUUCUCUGGAGCAUAUUCUUCAUCCAUUGCUGCCUAAUAACUUUUUGGAUUGUUUACUUUUACAAUGCGGCAGGGUUUAAUUUAUUAAAUGCCUCGCCACCAAGCACUGACAACACCCAGUAUUGGCUGUCUGUGUUCAAAACCGUAGGGGGAGGUGCUGGAGUCAGUUCCAGUGUCGUUCUCUCCCUCGACACUCUCACCAGAGUCACUGUCUCUUCAGAAGGAUGCUGCAGUAAAUUCCUCUACGCAAUCGGAAACCUCCUGUCGUUCUUCAGUCACUUUCUGGGCGUCAUAACAUGGAUCAUCUCCUUCAUCAUUGACAACUGUUCCGUGAUCCCACCGAAGCACUAUGUUCCUUCCAUUCUCUGCAGCACCCAACAUACCUACCUAAAUAUUAUGAUUUUCUUCGGAGUAUUUGCAGAGAUCCUCCUAGGCAUUUGCCUCCUGAGGCUCUUUCGUCUUUUACCAAACCACCGAUACCAGUCUCUCUAAUAAAGAGUUCCACAAACUGAAUUAGAAAGUAUUGUAACAUUUACGAAUUUAUACAAAUAAAGAAUUAUUUACAAAUUUUA